AACACCAUCAGGAGUCCUUCCUAUCUCCAAUAAUAUCACCAAACAUCGAGAAUCUCUUCCAAGGUCGUGAUACCAAACGCGUUGUAUCUCACCAUCUAUUCGAGGAAGAACAUGUCGUUCUUGAGGGUCUUCAUCUCGGUUGCAUCGUCUUGAAGGUUGUGACAAUCGCAAUGUCUCAUCCGGUAAGUCAGCAAACGAAGGUUCUUGAGUUGAAUCCG
RNAcentral lists this long non-coding RNA (218 nucleotides) under Physcomitrium patens. Its description in RNAcentral is "long non-coding RNA (PPAT_LNC003665)". The record is from RNAcentral. Lineage: Eukaryota; Viridiplantae; Streptophyta; Bryopsida; Funariales; Funariaceae.